Molecule: long non-coding RNA, 3335 nt
Filed under: Mytilus galloprovincialis (Mediterranean mussel)
Lineage: Eukaryota; Metazoa; Mollusca; Bivalvia; Mytilida; Mytilidae
Source: RNAcentral
AUAGUCUGUUUCCCGGCCGUUAUUGAAAUUCUUGACAAUACCGUCCGGUAUGGGCUAAUUUUACUAUUUGAAAUGAACGAUCUCGAGCAUGCGCAGUUACGCAUUGUUGUUCCUCUUUGCCGCUUCGAAGAUGGUAGUGGGUUACAGAAAGCCACGAUACAGGUGAGUGGAGUAAUUUCAAGUUGCCCAAAUUGAAAGUAAGAUAGCCAAAACUCACCCAAUUCGUGUGGUAUAAUUUUUUGUAACAAUUAUUGAUCGCCCACUAAUGGGCAAGCUUUUGAAGUGGCCGCUAGGCCCUUCUUUUUGUGUCAAACUCGCAACUUUAGCCCAAAAAAUUGUUAAAAACAACUUUGCAAGCAUUCUAAGUAAAACAUAAACAUAUUGCUGGUUUUUUUGUCAGCAUUGACGUAAAAAAUCAGUAAUUUCCUCUAUUUUCACAAAGAAAGAUUUGUACAAGUUGUGUUUUUAUGAUGUGAAACCUGGGGCAGGGGGCUCAAAAAUUUAAAGGCGUACACAGACUGUCAGAAGCAAUUUGAGAAGCAGUGAUCACUGGUGAUCCUCAAAACAUGUCUACAACUCAAAGACCUGGGUUUAUAGUGGACCCGGAUUCGUUAUGUUAUGGUAGACCCCCCUCCAAAAAAAGGGGGGUGUCAUAUUUAUAUAGAGGCAUACACAGCUACAUCAAGUGAAAUUUUGGAAAGAAGUACAAAUGUACAAGCCUAAGAUAAAAAAAAAAACAUAUUGAUAAAUUUAGUAAAGGUUCUCAGGCUGUCUGUAAUCGAUAACACUUUUUGUUAGUCCAAAUAAUUAUAAGGUAUUGAAAGGCUUUUAUAAUUUUGUUUGCUUUAAAGCCUUUCAGCAAUGUAUUACAAACUUUGUGUGACCCUCAAAAUAUCAGACAAUAAAUCAUUCGGUCAUACAAACCCUAAAACAGUGGGGCACAUAUUAAUGCUUACAGCACAACCACCAGAAAUUUCCACAUUUUUCCUUCUUUAGACCCUCAAAAAUUAUUUUACUAAAUUUGUAUCUAUUUUUAAUUUACAUGUACCAAACUCAGACAUUGGGCUUGUGACUCAAGGCAGACUUUUGCAAGGCAAAAUAUGCAUACCCUUCGAACAUGUACAUCCAUGGUUUGUAAUUGUUUACAUUUUUCUGUCAGUUAAAUUUUUGGCCUUUUUAAUUCAAUGUAAUUUAUCUUUGUUAAAACAACAUAUCUCAUUAAAGUGUACAAUCAUAGGCGGUUCCAGAGGGGCGGUCCUGUGGGGCCCCACUUUCGUGAGAAAAAUUUUGUUGAUUAUAUAGGGAAUCACUGAAGCAUGACUGGAGAGGGUACCCCCUUUAGUUCAGUCAGUGGGCCCCCCUUAUGAAAAGUUCUGGAUCCGCCACUGACAAUAAUACAUGUAUAUACAUGUAUACAGAAAUAGACCUCAACUUUCACAUUAAUAUGAUUUAAAAUAUCAUCGUUUGAAGCUUGUCAAAUCAGAGGCGGAGUUGGAGGGUUUUUCAGGUGGCCGGGCUAUUCCUUAUUUCCUUAUGCUUGGAAAAAUAUAGGGAAUCACUGAAGCAUGACUUGAACAGUCCCUCUUAAGCAGUCAGUGCCUCCCCCCCUUUCUGGGGAAAAAUUUUGUUGAUUAUAUAGGGAAUCAUUGAAGCAUGACUGGAGCCCCCCUUAGGUCAGUCAGCAUGCCCCCCCUUCCUCUUUUCUGAUUUUUUUUGGAAACGCCACUGAAAAUUAUAUAAAACAAACACUGAAACAGUAUUUAGAAAAAUUGUCAGUGUCUGUUUACAUGUAGAUGUGCACAUUGGUUUUCAACCCUAAAAAUUAGUUGAAAAGGCUCAACUCAUCAGAUGAUCAUCAUGUAUGUUUCAGUAAUAUUCAUACAUCAUGUACAUUGUACUUGCAAACUUUUCAAAAUUUUUAGUGAGCUUGCAUAUGUAAAGUGUAUCAAGAAAAUUUCAUCUUUUCACUGCUUGACUCGCCAUGUAAAAAAAAAAUCUGUAGUGAGAAUCCUGAUAAUGGUCAUCCUCCUCUAACAAUGUAUAUUGUCACAAGUGUUUUAAUCUAAAGUACUAACUAUAUUGUUUAAGCUUAAACAUCCUUUUAAAUCAUUUGAAUAUCUGUUUUAAAUAUCAUUGUUUAUAUAAUAGAGUAUGAAAAUUCAGGUCAACAAAUCUCAUGAGGGAAUUUGAAAGAAAGCAGGUCUUGAAAUUUGUUUAUAUUCCAUAGAUCUAAAACUUGCUUUGAUUAAAAGACAAUUUUAUUGACCUCACUUUGAAUUUGUGUUAUCUGAAUUUUUGAAAUCAAUGUUUAUAGUUGAAUUGUCUUUCAGAAAUGGUCUACCAGUAUUUGACACGAGAGGGCCUAGGUACAGUAGGACUAGCUUUCUUACAUGUAUGUCAGAGGGAUGACCCUAGUAAAAAGGUCUGACAUUCCAUACCUGAUAAUGAAAGAAAACACCAGAAACUAUUUACUGAGGUGAUUUUAAAUAAACUAAAUGGGAUUUCAUAUAUGAACAUAAUUAGUCCCUGGUUCAUAAAUAUUGUACAGUAUAUUUAAAGUACAAUAAAAUUAAAUCACUUAGUCUAGUGUUUUAUUUAUACUACUAGUACUUUUAAAAUUGGUGAUUAUUAAAGAAAGACAACUCUUACUUCCAACAUUUCUGGACAAAAUGUUACUUGAAUCAGUGAUUUAAGAUCACCCAUUUCAGUCUAACUGAUAUAUACAAGUAUGUACAAGUAUUUAUAUACAUGUAUAAACUUGUAAGGUUAAAAAAAUAAGCUAGUUUUUCGAUUUUACCUGUAUAAGAAUGAUUUUUUUGUGGAUCGAAUCAGUCAAUCUAAUGAUUUACCUUUAUUUCACUUUCAAUGUUGACAUUCUUUUCUAAUAACUGAUUAAUAGCCUAACACACAUCAACCAUGCAUAAUCCAUUUCUAGCUAAGGGUUUAAUUGAAGAUCACAUGAAUAGGGAUUCAAUGAGGUUGAAUUAUUCACUUGCAAGUGUCUUAAUUCAUCAUCAGUGUUUCUUAGCUUAAUCACAAGUCAGAAAUAUGAAAUUUUACCUCUGCCAAAUGAUAAAUCACAAGUCAGCAUUUUUUUUUAAUUGCUGCAUUAAAAAUAUCAGAAAAUACCAUGACAUAUAACAAGAAGAGAUAUAUAUACAAAAUGUAUAAAAACUAGAAGGGGAUUUUUUUCCAUGCCACAUUAAUGGACAUGAUGUAUGCAUAAUUUUUUGUUUUACAUACAUUGUACAUCAACAUUUAUUAUAUACAUGUACAAUAAUAUGUUACUUUUUUCUUUCAGGAACAAUGAUAAACAAGUGAACUGAUGGUUAAAA